This 253-nucleotide ribosomal RNA is filed under the name uncultured bacterium. RNAcentral's name for it is "partial 16S ribosomal RNA". It matches the Rfam family "Bacterial small subunit ribosomal RNA", at positions 524 to 776 of the family's 1533-position model. The record is from RNAcentral.
UACGAAGGGGGCUAGCGUUGCUCGGAAUCACUGGGCGUAAAGGGCGCGUAGGCGGAUCUUUAAGUCGGGGGUGAAAUCCUGGAGCUCAACUCCAGAACUGCCUUUGAUACUGGAGAGCUCGAGUCCGGAAGAGGUGAGUGGAACUCCGAGUGUAGAGGUGAAAUUCGUAGAUAUUCGGAAGAACACCAGUGGCGAAGGCGGCUCACUGGUCCGGUACUGACGCUGAUGUGCGAAAGCGUGGGGAGCAAACAGG